AUCAAUUUUGUGUAUCAUUCAUUUAAUUUCUUCGAUCCCGAUGGCCAAGUUUUGUUGCUCCCUAUUUUUCCUGAUUCUUCUCUUUUCAGCAACCCAUUCAGCAAUUGGUGCGGCUAAGUUAUUGAACGGAUGCUCGCCGCAAGAGUGUCAGCAGAAGUGUGUAGAAAAGUAUCCUGGAUCAACAUCUCUGUGCGUCACGGCCACUGCAUCAGCUUUUGCCCUUACUUGCUAUUGCUUCAACCGUUGCACUCAAAGCCCCUGCAAUUCCUCUUACCCUUGUUUGCUCUUGCUUCCACAGUUGCCUUAAAGAACACACUCAUUUUUAACCUA
Long non-coding RNA from Cucurbita moschata (crookneck pumpkin), 330 nucleotides. RefSeq lists it as uncharacterized. Lineage: Eukaryota; Viridiplantae; Streptophyta; Magnoliopsida; Cucurbitales; Cucurbitaceae. The transcript has 2 exons. The record is from RefSeq and is a predicted model, not a curated record.